CCUACGGGAGGCAGCAGUGAGGAAUAUUGGUCAAUGGGCGCGAGCCUGAACCAGCCAAGUCGCGUGAGGGAAGACGGUCCUAUGGAUUGUAAACUUCUUUUGUCAAGGGACAAAAUCAGGCUCGAGAGCCUGACCGAGGGUACUUGAAGAAAAAGCAUCGGCUACCUCCGUGCCCGCAGCCGCGGUAAUACGGAGGAUGCGAGCGUUAUCCGGAUUUAUUGGGUUUAAAGGGUGCGUAGGCGGACUGUUAAGUCAGCGGUAAAAGCCCGGGGCUCAACCCCGGCGAGCCGGUGAAACUGGCUGUCUUGAGAUGUCGAGAGGUAUGCGGAAUGCGCAGUGUAGCGGUGAAAUGCUUAGAUAUUGCGCAGAACUCCGAUUGCGAAGGCAGCAUACCGGCGGCGAUCUGACGCUGAGGCACGAAAGCGUGGGUAUCGAACAGGAUUAGAUACCCUUGUAGUC
Molecule: ribosomal RNA, 459 nt
Filed under: uncultured bacterium
Lineage: Bacteria
Description: partial 16S ribosomal RNA
Rfam family: Bacterial small subunit ribosomal RNA
Source: RNAcentral